Molecule: long non-coding RNA, 2171 nt
Filed under: Sus scrofa (pig)
Lineage: Eukaryota; Metazoa; Chordata; Mammalia; Artiodactyla; Suidae
Description: lncRNA (ENSSSCG00030058423.1)
Source: RNAcentral
GGCUCUUCAUCUCUGUACAUAUUGUCUGUAUAAUGGCCUUCUCAUUUUACUUAUCCUUAAAGGCUCACCUCCAAAUUACUUCUUCUGGCCAAAUCUGCAGCCUAGGCAUCAAAUUGGAACUGCAGCUGCCGACUGACACCACAGCCACAACAGUGCAGGAUCUGAGUUGCAUUUGCGAUCUAUACUACAGCUCAUAGCAAUGCUGGAUCCUUAACUCACUGAGCAAGGCCAGGGAUUGAACCCAUAUCCUCAUAGAUACAGGUAUUGAAAAGAUACACCAAAAUGUUGAUCUUAUCCAAGUGCAAAAUGCAGAAUCAGAAUUGGUGUUCUCUGGAAAAAGACAAAAGUCAAGCCUUGGUAUAAAUUUGGAAAAACACAUUCUUUUUUCUUAAUGGAAGCUAUGGCAGAACCCCGGAAUCAUACACUCAAGGCUGUGGAGAGCACCUUGUGGAUUCCCGUGAGGUUGACUUUCCUUUGGGUGCAGCCAUCAGGCGGUGCAGGCAGGAGACCCGAGGAGGAUGGAAGGACACGAAGGUCUCCCUGUGCCUCUCGCUACUCUGCCAGGCUCGCCAUUGGCGGCGAUGAUUCCUCCGCUGAGGCUCGUGAUGCUUCUCAGGAAGCCCGCUGAAACAGACGGUCUUAGAAACUGCAUCCUGUACCGUCCCCUUCAAGUCAAGUGAUUACCGUCUCCUCUUUUCCAACAGUAGGUUUUGCCUCAUAGUAUCCAAAGUCCUGAUAGAGAAUAGCUACAUUUAGGGGGAUCUUACCUGAUGCCGGGGCACUCCCCUAAGGGAUUUUUUUUUUUUUCUUUCAACACUCACUGAAUUCCUACCAUAACCCUGCUUGUGGUAAACUAAGGCUUCAUGAAGUUCAUUGUCCCACAUUGUGAAUGGAACUGGCUUCUGGUAAGAGCACAGACUCUAGAAUCUGACUGCCUGGCUCUAAACGCUGCCCCUUCCACCUGUGAGCUCAUGGUCCUGAGCACAUUUCUAUUGGUCAGUCUCCUCACCUAUAAAAGGGAUAAAAAUAGUACUUCAGAAGGUAGUUGUGAAGAUGAAAUGUGCUAAUAUAUGUAACACACUUGGAGAAUAUGGCUUAUAGGAGAUGCCUGUGUGUGUUUGCUAUCAAUAUAAAUCCAAAACCCAUCCAUUUACUGCAUUAUACUCACCUCCUAUCAGAAAGCAUACACAUUUUCUUUAGAGUGGAAGAUCCCUGCCCAUCACUUUUAAAUAACCUGUAUGGUGUUCUCUAUUUUAUGCAGUGGAUUGGCUCUCAUUUAAACACAAUGCUUUUAUGUUUAAAAAGCAAAACAGGAUACUCUGUUAUUUUUUCAUUGCCAGAAAGGCAAGUAUAGAUAGUAUCACAGAAAAAGUUGUAGAAGCUCCCCUGUUGGUGUACUGAACGAAUUAUAGGAACACAGAUAAUCUUAAAGACUGGAAGGCCUCUGACCAUCUCAUUUACAUACAGAGAAACUUGGAAAUUUGGCUACAGUCUCACUGUUGUUCUAUUAUAAGAAAAAAAGGGGUUCUUUGUGGACAUUAGCGUGUUUAGGAUAUAGAUAAAAAUCUGCCUUGGAUGACAAGGAGAGUGAAGCUCAAAUUUGAAGCCUCUUACCAGACCUGAGUACAUAUUUGAAGAAACAGCCAUAGACUCUGUGUUCUUUAAAGGCAAAGGAAGCCAGCAAGCUGAAGAAAGCAUGUGAAGAACUGGGUCAAGCAGUUUCAGAUACAGAGAACCAUGGAGAAAUGUUCUGCCCACCACCUUCAGCUCUCCUUAUCUCUACUGUCACACCAAAACAACCUUGUGAUGAUGUAACAGAAAAUUACUGAUACAGGAACCUAAAUUCCAUAUCUUGCCCUCUUAAUACAAGAUAGCAAAACAUAACUAUCUAAACCAAUUAAGAAAGAGUCUUGGAGUUCCCAUAGUGGCUCAGUGGUUAACGAACACGAUGAGUAUCCAGGAGGAUGCAGGUUUGAUCUCUGGGUUUGCUCAGUGGGCUAAGGAUCCAGCAUUGCCAUGAGCUGUGGCGUAGGUCGCAGACUCAGCUCAGAUCCAGCAUUGCUGUAGCUGUGAUAUAGGCCAGCAGCUACAGCUCUGAUUUGAUCCCUAGCGUGGGAACCUCCAUAUGCCGCAGGUAUGGCCCUAAAAAGACAAAAAAGAAAAAAGAAAAG